This 47-nucleotide small RNA is filed under the name Arabidopsis thaliana (thale cress). RNAcentral describes it as "ATSL076210". The record is from RNAcentral. Lineage: Eukaryota; Viridiplantae; Streptophyta; Magnoliopsida; Brassicales; Brassicaceae.
AAGAAGAAGAAAAAAACAACAAAGCUAGCUAGCAGUCACAAUAAAAU